AGGUCGAUGGAGGCUUGAUGCGGAAUCAGAUUUCGAAGGCCUUGUCAGUGCCAAGUCUUAAUUGAAUUUGAUUUGCCUGCAAUUUCUUUGACAGACAGUCAAAAUAGCCUUCCAAAAUUUUCUCGUGAUAACCUACAGCGAAACAUUAAUCCCUACUGGAUUUCAGAAAAAGAAAGGACACGCUUGUUCGGGUCCAGUGCUUCCAUUCCCUCUGGAGGCGAUGCAGAUUUUGCUUCAGCAGUCAGGAAAACGACAAAGAUUCUCUCAUCUUGAAGUAUGAUCUGAAUGGCUCUUCAGGCUCAAGCAUUGGAUCGGGUAGAAUUUCACAAGUCCCAGCAGGUUCUUACAAUAGUGGCCAGGGCAAGGGGCUUAUGUUGAUAACUUGCAAAAUAGGGGAUCUGCUCGCACAACUCCUGUCUGGCUUGAAACUGGAGAGGCAGUCGGUAAUAUUUUCAAGGCAAUAAAUUUAACUUGCUCUGUAAAACUUUGAUUGAGGGGCAAAUGCUUUCUGCAAGUGUACAUGCUUUUAACUUUGUUGAGAUUGCAGCAAAUACGUAUUCUGAAAUGCAGGAGGAAGCCCUUGAUCGCGCAUGCUUGCAUAACUCAUACUUAGAACAGGUACGCCCUAUAAGUAUUUAUUAAAAGGAAAAAGUGGAAGAAAUGAACAAUAAAUUUCAAGUCUAACGAUAUCUUUAGGAUUUUACUACAUGAAAAAACUCAAACUGGGAAAAGGAGUUGCAAGGUCAUAGACUUCCUUCUGGCUCCAGUAAAGAACUGUUUCCACGACCCUGCAGUAAAUGCAAAGUGGAAUAUUCUUUUGUCUUAAAUGACAUUGUAGUGAGCUGGGCUUGUCAAUACUACAUCCAUUCUAUGGGAUAUAUAUUAUGUGGAGAGUGGAUGGAUUGAAUCUAGUUGUUUGUUCUCUUUCUCUCUCUCUCAAACAAACACACACGAGCUUGAUGACAUCCAUGUACACAUGAGUAAAUUGGCUUGCAGAAAUUACAUUUUAGUAUGUACAUUUUCAUGAACUGCAACAUUCUGAUUGUUUGAUCUAAAUCCUCUGAAUAACUCUUUGAGGGAUUAGGCCAGGCAGGCAUACCUUAUUGGUAACAAGGCUUUAUCGAAGGAGUCGAACGUCAAAGGACAGUUGCAUAACAUGCAGAGGAAGGGGACCCAUGCUUGUUCGAAUUUUUGAUUAAAUGUAGAUAAUGUUACUUAUGAUGCUGGAAAGGAAAAGCCGAACGUACAAUCUGUUUUGCUACUGUGUAGUUGGCGAAUGGCAAAUAUACAAUUUUGCAGUUGUAACCAUUUGCAUCGACUUCGUUUUUGUUUCUUGUUUUACAGUUUGUAUAUGCAGAUGUAACUGAUAUCUGAAAUUCCAUCAAGGGUUUGGAAGUCUUCUCAAGACUAGGGACAUUUUCAAGAUUAUUUGAUAUAUCUACAGUGUUGUAACACAAAAGAUUGAAGAACAACUAUUUAGGUUCCAUGAGAAAAGUUAUCAGUGUUAUUUACCGUGAAUAAUAAGAUCCUGGAAGAAAAAUAAACCCAUAACAGAAACAAAAAGAAGAGAAAAGAAAACAAAUAGUUCAUGCAGUCGAACACAAGCCUACAUCAAUGGCAAGAUUCACUCUGAAGAGAACUUGGCUCUGAGCUGCUGAGUUUUCACUCCAGAAAUAACCAGAUUUUUAUAUCCUUCAAUUCAAUCAAAAUUAGUUCAAAUACCAAACAUCUUGGUUUUUUUCCACUGUUGUUCUGGCUGGCAUAAACCAUAAACAUUUGUGUAGCCUGUUUUCACUUUUACUGAUACUAAAUUGUCUUUAAUUUGUUAACCAUGUACUAAGAUCAACAUUUGAAAAACAGGUCCACUUUGGCUAUUUCGGAAUGAAAAUUUGUGAGUUGGUCGGAUUUACCGGUCACAAGAGGCUGCAUUUCUUGACGUUUCUUUAUGGAACAAUUGAAGAAGUCCUUUCAAUGAGUCCAGAAGUCGUUUCAAUUUCCCAAAUGAGAUAGACCUGACAGCAGUACACUAGCUGACAAUGGGAAGUUACGACAAGAAUCUUGAAGAAUGCCUACACUACACCAAGAGUGGAUGCGCCUUCAAGAGCAAGAACUAUCUGAACUCAACCAUGCGAUAAUAUUAAGGGAACAAGGCUAGCUAAAUGAAGCAGAUAUGAAACAACUCAUCGACAAAAUUAUGCAACACUUUGAAGAUUAUGUGGAGAAACGAAGGUGUCUCGCUCACAAAGAUGUCUCGACCUUCUUUUUGCCUUACUUGGUGCAACGCAUUCGAGACUCUACCAUGGGUUGCUCAUAUUUCAGCCUCGUUUAUGCACUCUGUGGAUUUGAAAUCGACUCCAGACUCCAAGAGCUUCUUCAAGGAGCAGGAGAUGCAAAGCCUAGUGACUUCUCCGGCAUUUCAACUUUCUUGACAAUCUACAAAGGAGGAGCAUUGGAGAGGAAGAAAAAGUAUCGACUGAGAUGGCUAUACUGCAGCAGGACAUGGUGUACAUGCCGUUAGCACUGAUAGCGAGAAAAUCAGGUCCAAAACACGAACAAGAGAUGCAUUAAAGAAGAUCAAUCAGGCCAUGAUUUCUUCUAUGGAAGAAGCUGAUAUGUUGAGACUAAACACGGUCGAGGAAACAAUUAGCAUACUUACACCCAUGCAAUGCAAGUUUUUUGGAUUUCAUGGCUUCGCUAAGAAACUUCAUCUUUGCACGCAAGCAUGGGGUAAAGAGAGUGACAAUGACCAUGGUCGAAACUAGGAACAAAAGAUGUCCAUGGAAGUCUUGUUAUGCUGUAUGAUCGAAUUUGACUAGGACUUCGCGUUUUAUGAUCAAGUAUUUCUCCCUUACUGCCACCUACUGUAUUUCUAUGAUCGUUUGAAGGGGAAAACUGAAACAGAAUUCAAAUUGUUUGAAGAUUAAGCAGUUGGGGAAGGGGUGAAAACCUUACAAUUCAAGCAGUUUGAAUUCUGUUUCAAUUCUCUGUCUUCCAUGUUUUUUA
Olea europaea var. sylvestris is the source of this 3003-nucleotide RNA transcript. It is a transcript of the gene named protein DELAY OF GERMINATION 1-like, with no coding region annotated. Lineage: Eukaryota; Viridiplantae; Streptophyta; Magnoliopsida; Lamiales; Oleaceae. The transcript is spliced from 3 exons. The record is from RefSeq and is a predicted model, not a curated record.